AGGGUUGAAAACUCUAAACUUAGUUUUCUAAUUGUGUUUUACUACAAAUACUAGAUUUUAACCCGCGGUAUACCGCGGGACGAUUUAUUUUUAAAAGUAAUAUAUAUUAAAACUUGCAAAUUUUAUUUUUACAAAAUAUUUAUAUUUUACAGUUUAUAAUUGUUAUUAAGCAUGCAUGAGACAAUUGUUAAAAAAACUAAAGUUUUGACCCCUAUUAAAACAGUAUAUUAAUCAUAU
This 237-nucleotide small RNA is filed under the name Arabidopsis thaliana (thale cress). RNAcentral's name for it is "ATSL028650". Lineage: Eukaryota; Viridiplantae; Streptophyta; Magnoliopsida; Brassicales; Brassicaceae. The record is from RNAcentral.